RNAcentral lists this ribosomal RNA (541 nucleotides) under uncultured bacterium. RNAcentral describes it as "partial 16S ribosomal RNA". It matches the Rfam family "Bacterial small subunit ribosomal RNA", at positions 355 to 901 of the family's 1533-position model. The record is from RNAcentral.
UGGGGAAUAUUGCACAAUGGGCGAAAGCCUGAUGCAGCAACGCCGCGUGAGGGACGACGGCCUUCGGGUUGUAAACCUCUUUUAGCAAGGAAGAAGCGAAAGUGACGGUACUUGCAGAAAAAGCGCCGGCUAACUACGUGCCAGCAGCCGCGGUAAUACGUAGGGCGCAAGCGUUAUCCGGAAUUAUUGGGCGUAAAGAGCUCGUAGGCGGUUUGUCGCGUCUGCUGUGAAAACCCGAGGCUCAACCUCGGGCCUGCAGUGGGUACGGGCAGACUAGAGUGUGGUAGGGGAGAUUGGAACUCCUGGUGUAGCGGUGGAAUGCGCAGAUAUCAGGAAGAACACCGAUGGCGAAGGCAGAUCUCUGGGCCGUAACUGACGCUGAGGAGCGAAAAGGGUGGGGAGCAAAACAGGCUUAGAAUGACCCUGGUAGUCCACCCCGUAAACGUUGGGAACUAGUUGUGGGGUCCAUUCCACGGAUUCCGUGGACGCAGCUAACGCAUUAAGUUCCCCGCCUGGGGAGUACGGCCGCAAGGCUAAAACU